This 775-nucleotide ribosomal RNA is filed under the name uncultured Neocallimastigales. RNAcentral describes it as "partial large subunit ribosomal RNA". It matches the Rfam family "Eukaryotic large subunit ribosomal RNA", at positions 24 to 631 of the family's 3401-position model. Lineage: Eukaryota; Fungi; Neocallimastigomycota; Neocallimastigomycetes; Neocallimastigales. The record is from RNAcentral.
UAUGUGAUCGUCUCUCGCAUAUCAAUAAGCGGAGGAAAAGAAACUAACAAGGAUUCCCCUAGUAACGGCGAGUGAAGCGGGAAGAGCUCAAAUUUGAAAUCUUAAAGGGUUUCCCUUUACGAAUUGUAGUUUAAAGAAGUGUUUUCUGUUGAGGUUUUGGUAAAAGUUCUUUGGAAUAGGACAUCAUAGAGGGUGAGAAUCCCGUAUUUGACCUUUACUUUCAACUUUGUGAUACACUUUCAAAGAGUCGGAUUGUUUGGGAAUGCAGUCCAAAAUGGGUGGUAAAUUUCAUCUAAAGCUAAAUAUUGGCGAGAGACCGAUAGCGAACAAGUACCGUGAGGGAAAGAUGAAAAGAACUUUGAAAAGAGAGUUAAACAGUACGUGAAAUUGUCAAAAGGGAAGCGUUUGACACCAGUGUUGUUUUUCUGAAAAUCAAUUAAAGAACUGUUUAUGCUAAGUUGUUUAGACUUUAUCAGCUAUCUGCUUAGUUUUGAGCUUUUCUUUAAUGCACUUUUCAGUUAACAAGUCAACAUCAAUUUCUUUUGCUGUAAAAAAGGCUUGAGGAAGGUGGCUUGAGAUUCGUCUUAAGUGUUUAUAGCCUCUUGCCUAUGCAGUCGGAGAGAUUGAGGUCUGCAGCGUAGAUCCUUCGGGGCUAAAUGCAUUUGUGCUAAGUUAUAGCAUUUUAUAGACAACUUGUUGACUAUGAUUUGUCUUGUAGCUUACUCGCUUAUGUUAUUUUACCUACGCUUAGGAUGUUGAUCUACAGAGCGAGAGU